UACCACUUUUGUCAGGGAUAUUUUUAGUGAAAAUCAGGGACAGGUCACGGGCUUCCGUGAAUUUUUGUUUAUUGCUGCUUGACCUGUACCUGACUUUUACUAAAAAUAUCUGUGACAAAAACUUAGCCUUACUUAAGGUACAUAUACCAUAUCUCUGUGUGAUACUUUAAAGAAAGAACUUAUAUUUUGUUUCAUAAAAUAAUUUAAUGUUUAAUUUGAAUGGGUAUAUUUUAAAAGCCAGUUGCUGGUGCAAUAAAGUCUAAUUCAAACACUUUAUUUUUUUAAUGUGAAAAACUAAUAUUGUUUCUGCAGUGAAGCAGAUGAUUUUAUGUCAUAGUUUCAGCAUUCCAUGGGAACUUGGUUUUCUGCAAUGCACUUAUAAGGACCAUAGUGCCCUUGGAACAAAUUUGUUGGCAUGGUGGUAGCCUCAGUCACAUAUUGGGCAAACAUCUGAAACAGAAAUUUGUGUAUCAAAGAAACAAUAAUUUUCAGCCAAAUAAAUAUGAAGGACUUAAAUUCACCUCAAGAACACUAAUUUUGUCUUCAGUGAAAUAUUUUUACAAAUCUCCUUCAAAACAAAAUUAGGCACAGCCACAGUUAUGGUUGCCUUGCAAUACUGUGUUUCAUUCCAAAUAAGUGAUUGCAGGGAGUCCUUCCCACUCUUGUUGGGUUUCAGUCAAAGUAUAUGAGUAUACGAAGAGAUGAAGUCACUAUAUGUGACUUACUGUCAGGAGAGGAAAGAAAAUAACCAAGGUAAAAAAAACUUUGUUCAAAUGUACACCUCUUCAGUUAGUGGUUUUUAAUGGUAAUGAAAGAUUCAUUUAGAAGUUUUAAAAAAAGUAAGUAUUUAAUAUAAAUUUUAUGAUUAGUCUUUCUAGAAGAUUUUUUCAAGAUGUAAUUUUCUCCUCGUAGAUCUUCUUAAAAGAACUAAGGCUGUUAGUAAAGUUUUAGUUUAAACAUAAAUAUAUGUAUUCUUGACAAAGGAAUUUUCAGAGCUGCAGCAACAGUAAAGAAUCCUCUAUCUGAGCAAAUAGUGUGGCUCUAAAUGCUUGGCCUUAGAUGUGAGGCCUGAUCCAAAGCCUUUUGAAAUCAAUGAAUGGAAAGACUUUUGUUGACUUCAGUGGGCUUUGGUUCAGAGCCUUAGAACCUGAACCUGCAAACAUGAGUAACUUCACUCACAUGUAUGUAUUCAGUAAAACUAUACAUGUAGGUGUUUGCAGAUCAUACCCUAAAAAUUAUAGUGGAAGACUUUUCUUGAAAUGUUUAGUAUAUAAUGUGAUAUAUCCUGGUCCAGAGCAUUAGGCACACACAUCGCAUUAGUAAUGAUAUCAGUUGCAGGAAUACAAAACAGCUUCCCAGUUUCUUCAGUGAAGCCUUCCCAAGUCAACAAGACCAAAAGUUUUUUUUUUCCCCACUAUAAUUGUGUUUGUGAUGUUUCUGAUUAAAGUAGCUUCUUUUUUUAAUAGCCUCUUGUUGGAGGCAGCCACAUUGCAUGCACAAACAGAAUAGGCAUAUAAAGACAAUUUUGUACCUUUUGAUGCCCUUAGUCCUCUAAUAUAACUCCCGUAUAGAUAUUCUUCCUUGCUAAAUGCUUAGCUUGUUUGUUUUAGAAUCUUGAGGGAGCAGGUCUUCCUAGCUUCAUUCUUGGCAGUUAAUUUUUACCCAUUGAUAGUAGAAAAUGUAAAUGCAAGCUCCAGCAAAGCUGGUGAGAAGGAUGCCUUCCCUUCCAGGCCACUGAAGUAGGGGCUCAAAGCGCAGUAGCUUCCAGGUGAGUUGGCACAAUGCAGCCCAUUGAGAUUCCAUUGUUAUUUAGUACAUUAUCCCCAAGUUAGGCGAUGAGGUUUAUUGAUAAGAGAAUCAUGAUAAAAAGCUUAUGCAGGGCCUUCAUUAUAAUACUGUUUUAGUCUCAUUAUUUUCGAGAUCUUCACCUCAAUUGCCCAUGCCAAUGAUAUUCUUGAAUAGUGAUUUGGGACCUUAAUGUCUCUGAGCAAAGUUGAGCAUGUACUCCAAAGACACAGCUUCCAUUCACAUUAGUAGGAGAUAUAUACUCACAUCCAAGAACACAAUUAGGCUCAACAUUAAUGGUAGCAUUGUGAAUAAAAUAAUCUUCAUCCUUAAAGCAGAUGUGAUUUUUUUUUAAAGGAGAGAGAGUUAAUCAGCAUGAACAAAAUAAGACCUCAAGUCCUUUCUGCUCAGUGCUGACACCACAACAAUUAUGCCAAUUACCUCUUCUGCCUUUGGAUGUAUGUACACAGCUCCCAUUGAUUUUGAAGGGAGGCCUGCCUGCACAUAUAAGUGAUGCUUUAGAUAUAUUUCAGAUACAAAAGGAGAGUCUAAGGUUGUGUACAGGUGUUAACACCAGUUCAACUGCUAGUAGUAAUUUUUGGAGGUUAACAUUUCCUCAUGCAGACAAAGCUUAAAAGGCUACCUUGCUUCAUUCUGUGUUUGGUCCAUGUUUGCCUGCCUCCUUCUUAAGUUGCAUGAUUAAGAGUCAUUCACCUCUAGAGAAUGGCCUGGUGUCCCAAUACAAAGCCUGGGUCAAUAAUAGCCCGGUAGUUCUUUGUAGAUUUUGAAUAUAUGCAAAUAUAAUGUACUUAUUUCCUUAAACUGACUCCAAAUCCAUUUAAAAUUUCUUUGAGUUUCUUCCUCCACUCCUAAAACAUAUUCUUCUACUGGUUACCCACUGAAUGCAUGAGUUUCACCACUCUAUUUACAAAAGCUGCUCUUGAGAUACUUUUAAUACUCCAUUGAGAACAAUAGGGAAUGCUCCAGACAGCUGUGGAGACCACCAGCGCAUUCCUUGCUCUCCCUGAUUCAGUACCUGAGUUCUACACCUGAUGCCCAAGAAAAGGGAUGAGAGGCGAGAUAAACAACCCAUUGUUGGCUCUCCCCAGGAGAGUUAAAAGUCAGUGGAAAUAAAUUAGUUGCCACUGAGCUUUUUGGCCAAGUGGCUCAGGGAUAGCAAGGAAAGAAAUGGCCAUCACCUGAGUUCUCUUCGCCGGAGAAGCAUAUUUGCUACCUGCCUCAAUUUGGCUGGAACUCUCCUAAGUUUUGACAGAGUCCCAGUUAUCUACCUCUUUGUUCUGAGUAUUCAGAACUUCUGUGUCUGCUUACAAGGCUGUACUGGAGGCGUUAGAAGAUGUCUCAUCCUCUUCCUAGCUCUCUGUUGGUUCAUACGCCUCACUGCAGUGGCAGACAGAACCGUCCAUAGGCCCUUGCCAGCUGCAGCAGAUAGCCCAAUUUAGGAGGGAAGAAAGGG
Long non-coding RNA from Gopherus flavomarginatus (Mexican gopher tortoise), 3259 nucleotides. RefSeq lists it as uncharacterized. The record is from RefSeq and is a predicted model, not a curated record. Lineage: Eukaryota; Metazoa; Chordata; Testudines; Testudinidae. The transcript has 2 exons.